RNAcentral lists this ribosomal RNA (440 nucleotides) under uncultured bacterium. RNAcentral's name for it is "partial 16S ribosomal RNA". It matches the Rfam family "Bacterial small subunit ribosomal RNA", at positions 339 to 795 of the family's 1533-position model. The record is from RNAcentral.
CUACGGGGGGCUCCAGUGGGGAAUCUUGCGCAAUGGGCGAAAGCCUGACGCAGCAACGCCGCGUGCGGGAUGAAGGCCUUCGGGCUGUAAACCGCUUUCAGCAGGAACGAAAAUGACGGUACCUGCAGAAGAAGGAGCGGCCAACUACGUGCCAGCAGCCGCGGUGACACGUAGGCUCCAAGCGUUGUCCGGAUUUAUUGGGCGUAAAGAGCUCGUAGGCGGUUGAGUAAGUCGGGUGUGAAAACUCUGGGCUUAACCCGGAGACGCCAUCCGAUACUGCUCUGACUAGAGUUCAGGAGGGGAGUGGGGAAUUCCUAGUGUAGCGGUGAAAUGCGCAGAUAUUAGGAGGAACACCGGUGGCGAAGGCGCCACUCUGGACUGAAACUGACGCUGAGGAGCGAAAGCAUGGGUAGCAAACAGGAUUAGAUACCCCAGUAGUC